GGGGAAUAUUGGACAAUGGGCGAAAGCCUGAUCCAGCAAUGCCGCGUGUGUGAAGAAGGCCUGCGGGUUGUAAAGCACUUUCAGCAGGGAAGAAAUACCUGGAGCUAAUACCUCCAGGGACUGACGUAACCUGCAGAAGAAGCACCGGCUAACUCCGUGCCAGCAGCCGCGGUAAUACGGAGGGUGCAAGCGUUAAUCGGAAUUACUGGGCGUAAAGCGCACGUAGGUGGUUGGGUAAGUCGGGUGUGAAAGCCCCGGGCUUAACUUGGGAAUUGCAUUCGAUACUGCCCAGCUAGAGUAUGGAAGAGGGAAGCGGAAUUUCCGGUGUAGCGGUGAAAUGCGUAGAUAUCGGAAGGAACACCAGUGGCGAAGGCGGCUUCCUGGUCCAAUACUGACACUGAGGUGCGAAAGCGUGGGUAGCGAAC
RNAcentral lists this ribosomal RNA (425 nucleotides) under uncultured bacterium. RNAcentral describes it as "bacterial SSU rRNA". It matches the Rfam family "Bacterial small subunit ribosomal RNA", at positions 356 to 773 of the family's 1533-position model. The record is from RNAcentral.